CUGAGCUCCUGUUUUCUGAUCUGUGAUAUCAAAGAUGUAUAAUUCUGGGAGCUCUUUGAUUCCGGCCUUGAGGUGUUUUCAGAACUGCUUGGAUUUUUCUGCGGAUGCUUUCCACUGGGUCAUGUCGCUUCUCAGUUGUCUUCUUUGCAGAGGCCAUUGCUGACCUUCCUCCUGAGACAGAUGAAGUGGUUAAGCUCAAGAUGAUGGCCAUCAGCUCCAGCUAAUGAAGUCUCCAUCAACAGAAUCCUUCACUAUUUAAGGUAGUAAUCAUUUUCUCAGUUGACAAUACCUUCCUUUCCUUCUAUUCAAGGCUUAUCUUUCAACAGCAAGCCUAAAACAUAUUCCCCUAUUGAAAUUCUGGAAUCAAUGUAUUCUCACUGGACUCAAGCUUUCUGUUCUCUCCUAGGAUGUAUAAUUGCACUACAUUUUAGUUAUUUAAUUAGAUUUUGUCUUGGAAUGUAUCAAAUGUGUACGCAUGUGUAUGCAAUUUAAUUCUUGUAUUCAAAAGUCAUGAUGUGACUCUCUUUUACAUACUAAACACAUUGUUGUCGGCAUCAACUAAGAACCUGCAAUUGUGUAUAGUGUAUAUAAUUACCAGGCUUGUGACCUUGUCCCCCAGCUGCAGUGUGUUGACUCUCAACUACUUGUAGCUACCAUUUUUUUCUAGAGAAUAGCCCCUGGCUUCUCCACUGGGAGCUUCUCAUUGCUUAACUGGGAGGUUGGAAGUGAAGUAGUGGUAAUGGCAGAAGAGAAUUCUACCUUCUAACACAUGGCUGGCUGUGGUGGUGACAGGGCUGGAACCAUCUGCUCCAGGUCAAUAAAGACCUCUUUAGAGCCUGGUUAAGUAUCUGUCAGUGUUCUCAAUGUGAGGUGACUGCUUUCCCCUUCUAGAGCCAGAGAAGCAGGGGAAAGGUUGAGCUUGAGGCUAACAGAAGCCCUAGAACUUGCACCUCAGAUUCUCAGACACAUCUGCCUGUGAACAUCUGUGAAUAUUGAUGUGGGAUACUGUUCGAGCCACAGGGAAAAGCCUCACUUUGUGGGUAUUGGUGACUGAUCCAGAUAAAUGUUCCUGGCCUAGAAGUCACCACAUUUCUAUUUGCUUUUUCCAAGGCAUUUUUCUCCUUCUACUAUCUGCUUUCUAAACUUCCACGACUCACCUCAGUAAGCCCUGCUCCAUGGUUUAUAAACUAAACCUAACAAAGAGUACACUUAAGACACUGAUUCUCGGAGUUUCCAUCAUGGCUCAGCGGGAACGAA
Molecule: non-coding RNA, 1257 nt
Organism: Sus scrofa (pig)
Lineage: Eukaryota; Metazoa; Chordata; Mammalia; Artiodactyla; Suidae
Source: RefSeq, a predicted model, not a curated record